AGUGUAUUGUUGUUUUAAUCUUAUGUAUUUGUAACACUUCUUUCAAUAGGGAUUUUUUGUUUUGGUGUUUGGAACACUUUCAGACAGAAAGGUCCGAGAGUCACUGCCAACAAAUCUGUUAUUACAGAAUCUCAUUUCCAAUUGUACCAUGAGCACUAAUACAGAAAGUGGAGUUUUUGUCUUAAAUGUGAACAGUAUAUAUGACGCAAGAAGUGUCUCAUCAUCUUCAUCUUCUGACAGCUCCACUGCAUCAAACACUGAUUGAUUCUGCUGUGAGAGAACAUUUUUAUGUUCUGAGAUAAAUACAUGAAGUAGUUUUUAGUUUUAUUAUAUAAUGCACUUUAAAUCAUGUUAUUAACAGUAUGUCUAAGAGCAGAUAAAUCUAGGGGACAAUAUGGGCUAGUUGUCACAGUCUUUACUGGUUCACUAAGUUAAGCUUAAGUUCUACACAUAAAGUAAAUUCUUUGCUACACAAGAAAGUGCCACUAGUGCACUUUAAUGAACAGAACAGAAAAGAGCUUUUGGAAUAGAUGUUGGGGGGCAGUUCUGAUCUAAUGGUUAGAGAGUCAAGCUUGUAACCCAAAGGUCUCAGGUUUGAGUCUCACAGCUGGCAGGUUGUGACUGAGGUACCCAAUGAUAGCUGCACACUGCUCCGGGUGUAUGUGUGUUCAUGACUUGCAGUGCUUGAGUUCACUACUUACUGGGAUUGGGUAAAUGCAGAGGUCACAUUUCGAAUAUGGGCUAAACACGUGAAGUUUACUUUCACCUUGAUACCAACAAACAAAAUGCAUUUAUGUAAUUGAACUUUCAACCCUCAAAUCAUUACUGUGAACCUUGUGAUAACCUUGUUAACUUAAUCUCCAAUUCUAAAUCAAAUGUUGUGUAUUUUCUUAAAAUGAAUGUUACAAAAUUUACUCAAAUUGACACUGCUAAUUUUUGAGGCCUGACUAAGGCUUUUCAG
Non-coding RNA from Misgurnus anguillicaudatus (oriental weatherfish), 961 nucleotides. NCBI's taxonomy places the organism in Eukaryota, Metazoa, Chordata, Actinopteri, Cypriniformes, Cobitidae. The record is from RefSeq and is a predicted model, not a curated record.